AGGAUGAACGCUGGCGGUACGUCUGACACAUGCAAGUCGAACGGUAAGCCACCUUCGGGUGGCCUAGAGUGGCGAACGGCUGAGUAACACGUAGGAACCUACCCCUCAGUCUGGGAUAACGGGACGAAAGCCCCGCUAACACCGGAUAAUAUCGAAAGAUUGAAAGGUUACGCUGAGGGAGGGGCCUGCGGGCUAUUAGCUUGAUGGUGGGGUAACGGCUCACCAUGGCGAUGAUGGCUAGCUGGUCUGAGAGGAUGAUCAGCCAGACUGGGACUGAGACACGGCCCAGACUCCUACGGGAGGCAGCAGUUCAGAAUCUUGCACAAUGGGCGAAAGCCUGAUGCAGCGAUACCGCGUGGGUGAAGAAGGCCUUCGGGUCGUAAAGCCCUGUCAGAGGAAAGAUAAUGACGGUACCCUCUAAGGAAGCCAACGGCUAAUUACGUGCCAGCAGCCGC
Molecule: ribosomal RNA, 455 nt
Filed under: uncultured soil bacterium
Lineage: Bacteria
Description: bacterial SSU rRNA
Rfam family: Bacterial small subunit ribosomal RNA
Source: RNAcentral